AGGCGUAUGUGCUCUACAGCAAGCGCGUCUACCGCGGCACCACCACGAUGAGCGGGAAGACGGUCAUCGUGACCGGCGGCAACGCAGACUCAUGAUCCGGAUCCGCGGUCACUACCUGCCCUAAGGGCAAGUUACCAGUCAUGAUUUGACAAUACCUGCCGUAUGCACUCCAGCCCAUUUUUACAGCGAAGCUGGAUACCUCUACCUCCCAAUGCAUUUGUUGUAGCCGUGGGCAAACGUGUCAGCUGAUCCCGGAGGUUGUUUGGUACUAGGCUGACCCGCAGCGGAGGGGAAACAGGGUUGAAACACUCUGCCUCUAAUAAAUAAAUAAAUAAAUAAAUAAAUAAAUAAAUAAAUAAAUAAAUAAGAGGUGUCCAUUAAUGUGCCCAGGAACAACCCGAGGGUCUUGGUGCUGGCACACUCGGCAAAACAAUGCACAAGAAACACAGCGCACGCGCACAGGCACAUACA
Non-coding RNA from Dermacentor andersoni, 471 nucleotides. NCBI's taxonomy places the organism in Eukaryota, Metazoa, Arthropoda, Arachnida, Ixodida, Ixodidae. The record is from RefSeq and is a predicted model, not a curated record.